GGAUAACCUACCCUUAGGACCGGGAUAACCUUGGGAAACUGAGGAUAAUACUGGAUAGGCAAUUUUUCCUGUAAUGGUUUUUUGUUUAAAUGUUUUUUCGCCUAAGGAUGGGUCUGCGGCCGAUUAGGUAGUUGGUUAGGUAAUGGCUUACCAAGCCGUUGAUCGGUACGGGUUGUGAGAGCAAGAGCCCGGAGAUGGAACCUGAGACAAGGUUCCAGGCCCUACGGGGUGCAGCAGGCGCGAAACCUCCGCAAUGUGAGAAAUCGCGACGGGGGGAUCCCAAGUGCCAUUCUUAACGGGAUGGCUUUUCAUUAGUGUAAAAAGCUUUUGGAAUAAGAGCUGGGCAAGACCGGUGCCAGCCGCCGCGGUAACACCGGCAGCUCUAGUGGUAGCAAUUUUAUUGGGCCUAAAGCGUCCGUAGCCGGUUUAAUAAGUCUCUGGUGAAAUCCUGUAGCUUAACUGUGGGAAUUGCUGGAGAUACUAUUAGACUUGAGACCGGGAGAGGUUAGAGGUACUCCCAGGGUAGAGGUGAAAUUCUGUAAUCCUGG
This 548-nucleotide ribosomal RNA is filed under the name uncultured archaeon. Its description in RNAcentral is "bacterial SSU rRNA". It matches the Rfam family "Archaeal small subunit ribosomal RNA", at positions 102 to 651 of the family's 1478-position model. The record is from RNAcentral.